GACGAACGCUGGCGGCGUGCUUAACACAUGCCAGUCGAACGGAAAGGCCCUGCUUUUGUGGGGUGCUCGAGUGGCGAACGGGUGAGUAACACGUGAGUAACCUGCCCUUGACUUUGGGAUAACUUCAGGAAACUGGGGCUAAUACCGGAUAGGAGCUCCUGCUGCAUGGUGGGGGUUGGAAAGUUUCGGCGGUUGGGGAUGGACUCGCGGCUUAUCAGCUUGUUGGUGGGGUAGUGGCUUACCAAGGCUUUGACGGGUAGCCGGGCUGGGAGGGUGACCGGCCACAUUGGGACUGAGAUACGGCACAGACUCCUACGGGAGGCAGCAGUGGGGAAUAUCGUACAAUGGGCGGAAGCCUGAUGCAGCAACGCCGCGUGCGGGAUGAGGGCCUUCGGGUUGUAAAGCGCUUUCGCCUGUGACGAAGCGUGAGUGACGGUAAUGGGUAAAGAAGCACCGGCUAACUACGUG
This 468-nucleotide ribosomal RNA is filed under the name uncultured bacterium. RNAcentral describes it as "partial 16S ribosomal RNA". It matches the Rfam family "Bacterial small subunit ribosomal RNA", at positions 28 to 507 of the family's 1533-position model. The record is from RNAcentral.